Styela clava is the source of this 219-nucleotide non-coding RNA. NCBI's taxonomy places the organism in Eukaryota, Metazoa, Chordata, Ascidiacea, Stolidobranchia, Styelidae. The record is from RefSeq and is a predicted model, not a curated record.
GGUCAGAUCAGUGCCGUUAAGUUGACUUGGUAUCAAGGAUCGGACCUUCAAUACCGAUAGGACGUAGGCCUGUGGCGCCGACAUGACUGGCUUACGUUAGUCUAUCAGAAAUGCCCAAUCGAGAUACGUUUAUUUUAUUCGAAGUUCGUGGAUUAAACGCAAAACACGGAUCACACAUUGAUUAUGAAUGAGGGAAUAAGUGUGGCCCAUAAAUUCCCG